AGAGUUUGAUCCUGGCUCAGAACGAACGUUGGCGGCGUGGAUUAGGCAUGCAAGUCGAACGAAUCCUACCGGUGUAGCAAUACAUUGGUGGGGGAAGUGGCGAAAGGGGCAGUAAUGCAUGGGCAACCUACCCCCAGGUCGUGAAUAGCCUUUCUAACGAUUGGGUAAUGCACGGCGUGGUCGAAGGGUGGCAUCACCUGGCGAUUAAAGAAUCUCGCCUGGGGAGGGACCCAUGUCGUAUUAGCUAGUUGGCGGGGUAACGGCCCACCAAGGCGAAGAUGCGUAGCGGGUGUGAGAGCACGACCCGCGCCACUGGCACUGAGACACUGGCCAGACUCCUACGGGAGGCUGCAGUCGAGGAUCUUCGGCAAUGGGCGAAAGCCUGACCGAGCGACGCCGCGUGUGCGAUGAAGGCCUUCGGGUUGUAAAGCACUGUCGAGGGGGAGGAAGCUCCGUAAGGAGUUGACCUAUCCCUGGAGGAAGCACGGGCUAAGUUCGUGCCAGCAGCCGCGGUAAGACGAACCGUGCAAACGUUGUUCGGAAUCACUGGGCUUAAAGGGCGCGUAGGUGGAUGAGCAAGUCUAUGGUGAAAUCCCCCGGCUUAACCGGGGAACUGCCGUGGAUACUGCCCAUCUCGAGGAGGGUAGGGGCGUCUGGAACUAGCGGUGGAGCGGUGAAAUGCGUUGAUAUCGCUAGGAACUCCGGUGGCGAAGGCGAGACGCUGGACCCUUUCUGACACUGAGGCGCGAAAGCCAGGGGAGCGAACGGGAUUAGAUACCCUAGUAGUCC
This 789-nucleotide ribosomal RNA is filed under the name uncultured bacterium. RNAcentral describes it as "bacterial SSU rRNA". It matches the Rfam family "Bacterial small subunit ribosomal RNA", at positions 8 to 796 of the family's 1533-position model. The record is from RNAcentral.